RNAcentral lists this ribosomal RNA (1448 nucleotides) under uncultured prokaryote. Its description in RNAcentral is "partial 16S ribosomal RNA". It matches the Rfam family "Bacterial small subunit ribosomal RNA". The record is from RNAcentral.
AUGAACGCUAGCGGCAGGCUUAACACAUGCAAGUCGAGGGGUAACAGGGAUUAGUUUACUAAUUUGCUGACGACCGGCGCACGGGUGAGUAACGCGUAUACAAUUUACCUCUUACUGGAAAAUAGCCCAGAGAAAUUUGGAUUAAUGCCCCAUAAUAUGUUUGAUUCGCAUGUUUUAAACAUUAAAGAUUUAUCGGUAAAAGAUGAGUAUGCGUCCCAUUAGUUAGUUGGUAAGGUAACGUCUUACCAAGACUACGAUGGGUAGGGGGACUGAGAGGUUGACCCCCCACACUGGUACUGAGACACGGACCAGACUCCUACGGGAGGCAGCAGUGAGGAAUAUUGGGCAAUGGAGGCAACUCUGACCCAGCCAUGCCGCGUGAAGGAAGAAGGUCCUACGGAUUGUAAACUUCUUUUAUUUGGGAAGAAACCUAUCUACGUGUAGAUAGCUGACGGUACCAAAAGAAUAAGGACCGGCUAACUCAGUGCCAGCAGCCGCGGUAAUACGGAGGGUCCAAGCGUUAUCCGGAAUCAUUGGGUUUAAAGGGUUCGCAGGCGGUUUAUUAAGUCAGUGGUGAAAGCUUUCGGCUCAACCGGAAAACUGCCAUUGAAACUGAUAGUCUUGAAUAUGAUUGAAGUGGGCGGAAUAUGGCAUGUAGCGGUGAAAUGCUUAGAUAUGCCAUAGAACACCGAUAGCGAAGGCAGCUCACUAAGCCAUUAUUGACGCUAAGGGACGAAAGCGUGGGGAGCGAACAGGAUUAGAUACCCUGGUAGUCCACGCUGUAAACGAUGAUCACUCGAUAUUGGCGACAAACUGUCAGUGUCUAAGCGAAAGUGAUAAGUGAUCCACCUGGGGAGUACGAUCGCAAGGUUGAAACUCAAAGGAAUUGACGGGGGCCCGCACAAGCGGUGGAGCAUGUGGUUUAAUUCGAUGAUACGCGAGGAACCUUACCUGGGCUUAAAUGCAUAAUGACAGGUCUAGAAAUAGACUUUUCUUCGGACAGAAUGCAAGGUGCUGCAUGGCUGUCGUCAGCUCGUGCUGUGAGGUGUCGGGUUAAGUCCCAUAACGAGCGCAACCCCUAUUUCUAGUUGCCAGCGAGUAAUGUCGGGGACUCUAGAGAAACUGCCGGCGCAAGCCGCGAGGAAGGUGGGGACGACGUCAAGUCAUCACGGCCCUUACGUCCAGGGCUACACACGUGCUACAAUGGUUGGGACAAAGGGCAGCUACCAGGUGACUGGAUGCUAAUCUCUAAACCCAAUCUCAGUUCGGAUUGAAGUCUGCAACUCGACUUCAUGAAGCUGGAAUCGCUAGUAAUCGUAUAUCAGCCAUGAUACGGUGAAUACGUUCCCGGGCCUUGUACACACCGCCCGUCAAGCCAUGGAAGCUGGGAGUGCCUGAAGUCGGUGACCGCAAGGAGCUGCCUAGGGUAAAACUAGUAACUGGGGCUA